GUGUCAGCAGCCGCGGUAAUACGUAGGGGUCGAGCGUUGUCCGGAGUUACUGGGCGUAAAGCGUGCGCAGGCGGCUCAUUGCGCCCGGCGUGAAAGCCCCCGGCUCAACCGGGGAGGGUCGUCGGGGACGGGUGAGCUUGAGGGUAUCAGGGGUUGGUGGAAUUCCCGGUGUAGUGGUGAAAUGCGUAGAGAUCGGGAGGAACACCCGUGGCGAAGGCGGCCAACUGGGAUACACCUGACGCUGAGGCACGAAGGCGUGGGGAGCGAACGGGAUUAGAUACCCCGGUAGUCCACGCAGUAAACGAUGCAGACUAGGCGUGGGGGGACUUGACCCCCUCCGUGCCGGAGCUAACGCGGGAAGUCUGCCGCCUGGGGAGUACGGCCGCAAGGCUAAA
This 395-nucleotide ribosomal RNA is filed under the name uncultured bacterium. RNAcentral describes it as "bacterial SSU rRNA". It matches the Rfam family "Bacterial small subunit ribosomal RNA", at positions 505 to 898 of the family's 1533-position model. The record is from RNAcentral.